RNAcentral lists this transfer RNA (75 nucleotides) under Lacunisphaera sp. RNAcentral's name for it is "tRNA-Gly". Lineage: Bacteria; Pseudomonadati; Verrucomicrobiota; Opitutia; Opitutales; Opitutaceae. The record is from RNAcentral.
GCCCGGGAGGUGUUGAUAGAUGCACGACUGCCUUCCAAGCAGACAGAGCCGGCGCGAUACCGGCCCCGGGCACCA